Molecule: ribosomal RNA, 316 nt
Filed under: Weissella cibaria
Lineage: Bacteria; Bacillati; Bacillota; Bacilli; Lactobacillales; Lactobacillaceae
Description: partial 23S ribosomal RNA
Rfam family: Bacterial large subunit ribosomal RNA
Source: RNAcentral
GUUCAGAACGUCGUGAGACAGUUCGGUCCCUAUCCGUCGCGGGCGUAGGAAAUUUGAGAGGAGCUGCCCUUAGUACGAGAGGACCGGGGUGGACGUACCUCUGGUGUAUCAGUUGUUCCGCCAGGAGCAUCGCUGAGUAGCUAUGUACGGAUGAGAUAAACGCUGAAAGCAUCUAAGUGUGAAACUCGCCUCGAGAUGAGAUUUCCCAUUCUUUAUGAAGUAAGACCCCUCAGAGAUGAUGAGGUAGAUAGGCUAGAAGUGGAAGUGCGGCGACGCAUGGAGCGGACUAGUACUAAUGGUUCGAGGACUUAACCAA